Molecule: ribosomal RNA, 468 nt
Filed under: uncultured bacterium
Lineage: Bacteria
Description: partial 16S ribosomal RNA
Rfam family: Bacterial small subunit ribosomal RNA
Source: RNAcentral
GACGAACGCUGGCGGCGUGCUUAACACAUGCAAGUCGAACGGAAAGGCCCUGCUCUUGUGGGGUGCUCGAGUGGCGAACGGGUGAGUAACACGUGAGUAACCUGCCCUUGACUUUGGGAUAACUUCAGGAAACUGGGGCUAAUACCGGAUAGGAGCUCCUGCUGCAUGGUGGGGGUUGGAAAGUUUCGGCGGUUGGGGAUGGACUCGCGGCUUAUCAGCUUGUUGGUGGGGUAGUGGCUUACCAAGGCUUUGACGGGUAGCCGGCCUGAGAGGGUGACCGGCGACAUUGGGACUGAGGUACGGCCCAGACUCCUACGGGAGGCAGCAGUGGGGAAUAUUGCACAAUGGGCGGAAGCCUGAUGCAGCAGCGCCGCGUGCGGGAUGACGGCCUUCGGGUUGUAAACCGCUUUCGCCUGUGACGAAGCGUGAGUGACGGUAAUGGGUAAAGAAGCACCGGCUAACUACGUG